This is a long non-coding RNA of Raphanus sativus (radish), 2797 nucleotides long. RefSeq lists it as uncharacterized. NCBI's taxonomy places the organism in Eukaryota, Viridiplantae, Streptophyta, Magnoliopsida, Brassicales, Brassicaceae. The record is from RefSeq and is a predicted model, not a curated record. The transcript is spliced from 6 exons.
UAUUAUGAAAGGAAAAAUAGAUAAGGAAAGCUAAAGAAAAAAAAAAUCCAGAUGUCCAUCUUUCUGUGAGAAAGGCGACUACAAUGGAGAAAAUCAAAUUCAUUACUCAAGAUAAGUUGUUCUUUAAUGGGAUAACUGAUUCCGUGGGGCAAGAGUGUAUUGGCAUGUUCCUUUACGAAUCAAGAACCAAACAUGCAGAAGAUGAGUGGUUGAUUUGCGUGGUCAGAAAAGAGAACAUACAAAAAUCGAUCUUCUUUUUUUCUCGGGUUAAAUCGGAUGUUCAUUAAUUUGGUGAGAAUUCUCAUGUCCAUCAAAUGAAAUAUAUUGAAGGUGGACAAAAACACCUACGUAGAAUGAGAAAGGAAUUUGGACACAAGAUGCAAAAAUAUGAUAGAAGAAAAAAAAUAUGCAGUCGAUGAUGCAAACACUUGCAGUAGAGCAGCUAAGUAUCAUUUCAUAUGGUCAAUAUAUAUAUCAAAAUGUAGCAAAUAAGAUCUUGUGGUUAAUUUUUAAUUAUAUAACUGUAUUGUAUUGAUACCUGAUUUAUAAUGAUCUCUGUGUUUCUGUAUCCGUUUUUUACACUGAUAUAAUGUUCUAUAGUGACAGUUGCCUUGCAACAAUGGUAUAGUGUUUUCCUAUCAAUUGAUGACUUUCUUUUGUGUAAUGAUAUUGAACUUGCUAGUUAACGUUUUCUUUGAUUCUAUAAGGGAAUUGUUUUGUUCUUGAGCUGUGAAUUGUUUUUCGUUUUAUAAAGUUUUGUUUAUUUAUAUAUUGACUCUAUGUAAUUGUUUAGUAUAAACAGCAUAGAACAAUCAGUUGCAUUCUAAUGUUUCGUGUAAUAAACAUCCAUUGUAUAGAACAGGCUUUACAUCAACAGAUGACUUGCCAUGCCUUAAUAUACAUAAUAUAUUUUGUGAACUGGAAAUGAUUGUAUUCUGUUCUUCUCGUUUGAGUUAAUCAGGGUCAUUAAAGUAGUGAGAAAUGAGGUAACAUAAAUGAAGUUUUUCUAUGACGCUGAGCCACAGGAACGAAAGAAAGUCAAGAUAAAGGAGAAGUGAUCCGAUUUUGGAGAGAUGUACAAAUACAUAUACAAUUGACAUAUUUCGGAGAGAGGAUGACUGGAUGUGGAGGAAAGUCAUGCAAUUUUUUAGUUACAAUUAGUCAUAUUUGGCAAACAUUUAUUAGGUGGAAAAGACAAUGAAUUUUUUUCAUUUACUUUAUUAAAUAUUCAGUGGCAUUUGGACGUAAAUACUGUGCAACUUGUAGGGUAAGUCUAUAUGUGUACUUCUGUUUUAAUAAAGUAGAUAGUUGGACAUAACAUUUAUCAAUAGUUAAUGAUCGUGUUUUAAUAAAAUAGAUUUAAUAGAAUAAAUUCAUAUGUCAAUUAAUAAACUAUAUUUUUUUGUCAACAAUUAAUCUAUUUAUAUAAAGUUGCAUUUACUCUCUCCUCGUGAAGCCACCUCAGCAUCUAGGUCAUAAAUUCGAAAGCUGAUAGCAUGACACGUGUCCAUUUUAUUUGUGCACUACGUUUCAUUUAAUUGAAUAGUAUGAUCGUAUCUAAUAUUUGGGCUUUCUCUUAAGUUUAUUUGUUUUUGUGUGUAUGGGCUGGGAAAGUGGUGGGCUGCGGUUGAUUAAAUACAGGCCCGAAACCUGAAUAAAAAACCAUUGGCUUCUGGGUUGUCAUCUCUUUCUUCGUCGUUCAGAGACGUUUCAUCUUUGUCUGAAUCAUUUGUGGCAUCGAAACGCGCUUCUUCGUGAUUAAUGUCCAUUACUUCAGUCACCACGAUGUAGCCUUGAAUGCAUGCUUUGAUUAGGAGUCGGUGAACCUGAGCGUAUAAAUAUUAGAUCUACUAAAAGAAAAAGCUAUCCAAGUAAUAUGAAAGAUCGCCGGUGAAACAUAAUGAUCCUGGAGGUGGAUUUAUAUGACGUGAACCAGAGGUGCUGAACUCAAGAAGAACCUUGUUCUCUCUCGCUACAAAGCAAAGAAGAAAACUUGAAGAUGCGAUAAGCACGUCAGAUCUGAAUAAUCCAAGGUUCAUGUAGAUAUCAACACAAGAGUCAGGGUCAGAGAAAAAAAGAGAACCAACAGUGGAGCAAAUAAGGUGUUCCAAAAAAAAGUGAAAGAAAAAGCUAAGAAGAUCAAGAACAAUCCUACCAAACUUGGCCAUGGUCAUUACAACGAUCAUGAUGUGUACGAAGAAGAAUAUGGCAAGCACGAAUCAGAGUGGCACGGUGAGCCAGAUUUGUUAUUUACAUUUGAAAAAGACUUGCGCGUUAUGUUUUUUCGACAUUAACGGGUUCACUGUUUUAUGUCGGAAUGGCACACUGUAUACUCAUGGCGGUGUAUCUGUUCAUGUGUCACUGUGUCAUCCCGGGGAAGCUAAUUUCCAGGCACCGCCGAAGAGCGUUCCACCAGGGACAAAUUUUUCCCAUUGGUGUUUUUGGAUACUUUUUAUGGACACGAGAGGAGAGGAUAUAUACUCUGGAGAAGGACGUGAGAAGAGAGGCACCGUCUCAUCCUCCUAAACUACAUGACAUGUCGUAGAGAGAAUAAAUGAUCGAGGCUCAUCAGAUGGCAAGAAAAAACGCAUGUGUCUUUGUUAUCCGCAACAAAGAUGUAAUGAGGACGUGAUGUUUUUUUUAAAUAUUGGUUGAAGUUGCAGGCAAACCUUUGUCAAAAGUCUAAAGUCAUCUGUGAAUUGGCUUGAAGAGGCUGAGGAACAAAAAAUUACGAUGUUUCUUUUUCAUUUUGCUCUGUAAUCAUCUUUUUCUUAUAAACAUAUAAUUUUAGAGUGUA